Molecule: long non-coding RNA, 642 nt
Organism: Labrus bergylta (ballan wrasse)
Lineage: Eukaryota; Metazoa; Chordata; Actinopteri; Labriformes; Labridae
Source: RefSeq, a predicted model, not a curated record
CAGAAAUCAGCAUCGACUGGACCACAGCCAAAAUGCCAGGAACAAAAGGUAAUAAGUCGGACAAGAAGUCAGCUACCAAGCAACCUCAGAGUCCUAAAGAGCAGCCGAAGAAAGGUGAUCAGAAAGGAGAUGAUAACAAGAAGCAAGGAGCAGGACAGCCGAAGGGAGAGAAGCAAUAACUUCCAGGCGUUUGUGAAGAUGGCUUUGGAGACACUGCUUGGGUCCUGCCGUCGUAAACAUGGGGGCCUUAGGGGCAAGCAGGACUGAGUGCGUUUCUGCAUUUACCCUCCCCCCACCCCCUUGUGCCUGCAGACUGGGCUGUUGUGCGGCCAGUUCCAAUACAGCAUCUGCUCACCUCUCACAGAGGCAGAGAGUGAACCUGCUGAUCUCCAUCCAUCACCAUCUGUUGUUCAACCUCUGGUCCUUUCCUCCCUUUUCCAACCGUUUUCUCUCCCCGUUACCCAACUCUGGAGGCUCAGAAAAAGUCUCCAUGUAAAACCGGACCAUAGCUAUGAACUAGAAUAAGUCUGUCAUCCCUCUUCCAAUCCUUCCCCAUCCCACCCUCAUAGCAUGGUAAACUGUCUAACAGUUACACAUUCUUCUUGUAAAUAAUAGUUCAAAUAAAUACUAUUUCUUACAGCA